This 269-nucleotide ribosomal RNA is filed under the name uncultured prokaryote. Its description in RNAcentral is "partial 16S ribosomal RNA". It matches the Rfam family "Bacterial small subunit ribosomal RNA", at positions 524 to 792 of the family's 1533-position model. The record is from RNAcentral.
UACGGAGGGUGCAAGCGUUGUUCGGAAUUACUGGGCGUAAAGCGCGCGUAGGUGGUUUGUUAUGUCAGAUGUGAAAGUCCACGGCUCAACCGUGGAAGUGCAUUUGAAACUGGCAAACUUGAGUACUGGAGGGGGUAGUGGAAUUCCCGGUGUAGAGGUGAAAUUCGUAGAUAUCGGGAGGAAUACCGGUGGCGAAGGCGACUACCUGGCCAGAUACUGACACUGAGGUGCGAAAGCGUGGGGAGCAAACAGGAUUAGAUACCCCGGUA